This 254-nucleotide ribosomal RNA is filed under the name uncultured bacterium. RNAcentral's name for it is "partial 16S ribosomal RNA". It matches the Rfam family "Bacterial small subunit ribosomal RNA", at positions 79 to 334 of the family's 1533-position model. The record is from RNAcentral.
CUAAGUUUGAUGGCGACCGGCGCACGGGUGAGUAACACGUAUCCAACCUGCCGAUGACUCGGGGAUAGCCUUUCGAAAGAAAGGUUAAUACCCGAUGGCAUAGUUCUUCCGCAUGGUAGAACUAUUAAAGAAUUUCGGUCAUCGAUGGGGAUGCGUUCCAUUAGGUUGUUGGCGGGGUAACGGCCCACCAAGCCUUCGAUGGAUAGGGGUUCUGAGAGGAAGGUCCCCCACAUUGGAACUGAGACACGGUCCAA